UUUUUUCUUUUUCUUUUUUUUUUGAGACGGAGUCUCACUUUAUCACUCAGGCUGGAAUGUAGUGGCACAAUCUCGGCUCACCCUCCGCCUCCCGGGUUCAAGCAAUUCUCUGUCUCAGCUUCCUUAGUAGCUGGGAUUACAGGUGCCCUCCAUCACGCCUGGCUAAUUUUUGUAUUUCUAGUAGAGACAGGGUUUCACCGUCUUGGCUUGGCUGGCCUUGAACUCCUGACCUCGUGAUCCACCCACCUCUGCCUCCCAAAGUGCUGGGAUUACAGGCGUGAGCCCUUGUGCCCGGCCAAUGCAUCCUAUACAUGUAGGAAAUUAUUAUUUACAGUGCCUGAUACAUAAUUAGUAGGCAAAAAACAUUUGCUAAGUGAGACUAAUUAUUACUUGACAGUCCUUGGGAUGUGGAAAUGUGAUUGCAAAACAUGUGUUAGCUACUUUGGGGAGGAAAAGAGAUCAUAUAUAGUAUCUACUCCUCAAUUAAUUACAAUAUAAUUAGGGAGGUAAUAUUCAUGAGAAGAUUUAAACAGGAGUUCAAAAUUUAUGUAAGACAAUAGUACAAGAGAAGUCACAGGUUAUACAUGAUUUACUGCCAAGGAAGUGAUACCAACAACAUGUAUCCCAAGUUCAGGUAUGGAAUAGAUACAGGCUGUAAUAGUCAAAGUUCAGGUAUGGAAUGAGUGUGGGCUGUAAUAGUCAAAGAAGGCUUCUAGGAGGAGGUAGGUCUUCAGCAGGAUCUUGGAGAGUGUGGGUAGAGGAAGAAUAAUUGCUACUGUUACCCCCACAAACAUCAUUUUUCUGCCCACAAUUUCAGGAAUUUACAUUGUUCAUUUAAGACACUGAUAGUUCCAAUGUUUCAAAUGGUACCCUUUUUGUCUCCCUUCUGUUGUAACAUUUUUCCUUUUUAUUUUGAAAUAAUUUCCAACUUACAGGAAAGUAACAAGAACUGUACAAAUAAGUCACUUUUUCCCCUUUGAGAGUAGGUCACCCCGAUGAUGUUCCAUCAUUCACAAAUUCUCAAAAUCAGGAAAUUAACACUGAUGUAUUACUAUCAUCUAAUCCACAGAACCCAUUUAAGUUUAAGCAGUUAUCCCAAUAAUGUCACUGAAAGUGAUGCAUUUAGUUAUGUCUCAUUAAUCUUUAAUCAGAACAAUUCUUUAGUCUUUCUUCGACUUUCAUGACCUUGCUACUUGUAAAGAUUAUAGGUGAGUUAUUUUAUAGAAUAUCCCUCAAUUUGAUUUGUCUGAUGUUUCUUCUUGAUUAGAUUCAAGUUAUGCAUUUUGGGCAGGAAUAGCACAGAAGGCAUGCUGGGUUUUUCCUCAUGACAUACCAUCAGGCUGUAGCAAUUUCAAUUGUCUCCUU
This 1365-nucleotide long non-coding RNA is filed under the name Macaca fascicularis (crab-eating macaque). RNAcentral's name for it is "lncRNA (ENSMFAG00000049679.1)". The record is from RNAcentral. Lineage: Eukaryota; Metazoa; Chordata; Mammalia; Primates; Cercopithecidae.